Dioscorea cayenensis subsp. rotundata (Guinea yam) is the source of this 731-nucleotide long non-coding RNA. RefSeq lists it as uncharacterized. The record is from RefSeq and is a predicted model, not a curated record. The transcript is spliced from 3 exons. Lineage: Eukaryota; Viridiplantae; Streptophyta; Magnoliopsida; Dioscoreales; Dioscoreaceae.
CUCAUUGUAAAUGACUGAUGACCUUUCCGGAGCAGAAUAGGUGGAAGUAUAGUGACAAGAGUUGGGAAGCGGUUGCUUAUUCUGUUCAGUUCUACAGGGCCCAUCAUGGAACGAUGAUGAUGAUGAUUAUGAUGAUUAUAUGGAGGGUCAAUUCCUGAUUCUUCAAUGAGAAAAAAAGCAAACUUAUCAUCCACUAUCCAGGAGAAUCAUAAGGAGAAAUAUCUUAUGGGUCUCUAAUAUGUUCGUGGGGAUUCUCUCAAGGCUGUAGAUUUAUGAACAAUGUCGUCACCAACAGUUGAUAGAGGUACCUAUACCAUGUGAAUUUUAAUUAUUUUAAAUUUGAAACUGUCAAGAUAAAUAUCAACCUUUUUGGACUUUAAUCUUGAUGCGUGUAAUACACAUUAUUUUCGAGGCCUUCCUAUGGUUAACCCUUUGCAGCAGGAAACUUUCCAUUAAUUCAUUUUUAUGUCAUCCAAACAAGUUCAUGGAAGACGACUUAAUCUAUGAGUUCUUACUUCUAAGCUCUCCAAAUAGACGUCAUCUUAUAGUCUUGAAUGAUUUCUUUUUUCAAUUUGGUGUUAUUCAUAGAUGCCUCCUAGAGUUCAACAUCCGGUAGAUAGGAGAAUUAGCCAAACUAUGGAGUUAAUUUUUCUUCAUAUUGAACAUUCAUGAUGGCCAUUUACUAGAUUCUGUGAGCUACUUCAAUUUCUCUUUAUAGACUAUAGAGAGAA